UCUUACACCUUCUUUUUCUCCGUUUGCGAUCGUUGGGCUUGUGCUGGGUCUCCCUGCCCAGAGCGUCUCCCUCUCUGUCUCCGUCUCUCUUCAUUGCAUAUCGAGAAGGCCUUUAACGAAUCGAAUAAAGCAACUCCAGCCAAGGGACAAAAAUUGAAAAAAAUCUAGGGUUUCUAAAUAUCUCUCGCUAUUCCUCUUCGAAUUUCUUUCCCUCCAAAAAUUGGUUGUUUUGCCGCUAGCUCUUCUCCGGAUCGAUUUUCUAAGGAAGAUAUUUCCCGGCAACAAAAAAAAAAAAAAAAAAAAAAUCACCUCCAUUUUUAGCUCUCGGCGACAACGACUUCCUCUGCUCCUUGGUUCUCCAAGCUAUUCCAAGGUUCUUCGAUUCUUGGAGUUUCAAUUUUGCUGUUUGUUUCUUCUGGAGCCUUGCGUGUGAUUUUGUUGGUUCAGAGGAACAAUAGCUGGUGGUUGGGGUGGAGAGGGAGGAUUCAUUGAUGGAGGAUUUACAUUCAAGAGGCAGGAUUUUAGACCUCAAAAAUUAUAUUUUUGUCUCUCAUAUAGAUUCUUGAUAUCUUGAUAUGUUCGAUCCAUUUUUGCAAUUGGAUCUGGGAUAUAUUUGAGGUUGAAUGCAAAUUGGUUUAUGGAUUUGGAAGCAUCUUCUUCGUCAAGGGAUUUGUUGAAAUGCUGUAAUUGUGGGUGUAGCUGUUCGUUGAUCACUAGCUCUUCAGGUACUUGGCUUCGGUCUGUAAAACGAAAGUAUGAUGAGUUUGAGGAGCGUAACCGAUUCUCCAUACCAGGGUUCGAUUUCUUCUCAAAUGCUAGGAUUCAGAUUGAGAACGAAUGUGCUCUGCUCCGUGAGAUGGUUAGUAGUCAACAGGAAGCAAUUCAGGAUUUGCAUACUGAAUUGGAGGAAGAGAGAAAUGCCUCUUCAUCAGCUACAAAUGAGGCCAUGUCGAUGAUAUUGAGGUUGCAAAGGGAGAAGGCAGAGAUCCAAAUGGAGGCCCGACAAUUCAAGCGUUUUGCAGAGGAGAAGAUGGCACAUGACCAACAGGAGCUUAUGGCUUUGGAAGAUUUGUUAUAUAAGAGAGAGCAGGUCAUUCAUUCGCUUACUUGUGAAGUGCAGGCUUAUAAGCAUAGGAUGAUGAGUUAUGGGCUCACAGAAGCUGAGGUGGAGGGUGAGAGAAGUGGGCUUAGCCAUUACUCUAGCAUGGUGGAAUUUGAUACGCAAAUCGAACUCCCCAUGUAUGACUACCCACCUUUGAAAUGUAGAUUACACGAGACCCAAGCUCCUUUGGAGGAUGAAAAUGAUGGAGAUGAUGUUGAGAAAUAUGCAUUUGGUGAGACCCCUUGUGCUAAAGACCAGCUGAAGAACUUGGAAAAUAGAGUCUUCCAGAUGGAGAGAAGUCCCAGCAACAGUCGGCUGGAUGGGGAUUUCUCUGGUUCAAAUAACAUUCUAGAAAAGGUGGUAGCUGGUCACUCUCCCAGGCGGUCAAGAGACUCCAGUAGAUUUUACAACGAACCAAGUUCGUUCAUGGGGGUGGUCAAAGAAACUGGUCACGAUAUUUCCACAGAAUAUCCGAGGCCCAGUAGCAAUUUCAUUAAUACAGAGGAUGUCUCACAGGUAGAGGACGACACUAAUUUGAGAAAGUUUGAUAAUGCAUCUGAAAUGGCAGAUGACAUGAGUGACAGAGUUUAUACCAUUGACUCUGUCCAUAAUGGAGUACCGAAUGGUGGUUUUACCAAUCCCAAAGCUGGAGUUGGUAUUUCUGAAGAAUAUGUAACCACUCCAAUGUCACUGAAUCGGGCUGAUCAUGCGGAUCCAGACAUUAAGAAGCUCUAUUUGAGGCUUCAGGCACUUGAGGCAGACAGGGAAUCAAUGAGGCAGGCAAUAAUUUCUAUGCGUACUGAUAAAGCUCGAAUGGUACUACUGAAAGAAAUAGCUCAACAUUUGUGCAAGGAAAUGUCACCAGAAAGGCAAAUGACUAUAAAGAAGCCAUCUCUUCUAGGAAGCUUUUCAUUUAUAUCAGUUUUUAAGUGGAUUGCCUCAUUUAUUUUCUGGAAAAAGAGAUCUCGUCGAAGCAAGUACAUGUGUGGCCUCUCAACCAGCACUAUGGGCUUGCUAAUGCUUCUAGACAAGGGCCCUCGUGUGAGGCCGUGGAGAUGUCUUACAAGCACGCAAGUGUAAAUGCAUUCUCAAUUCUUCCGUAUCCGUUGGGUGUCUAUCCUUGUGCUUGUGGACAGCUAGUGAAUUCCUGAUUACGACUUCUAUGCUUAGAUUUUACAUUCUUUUUCAGGGUUCUUGGUUGCUGCAAAAGUGGUUGAAUUGUGAGGCGCAGUUGCUAUAUCAACUGGUAGCGGAAUACGAUGGCAACACUCGGUGGCUUCAUUCAAAACCUUGUUCAAAAAGGACGCCUACCGUGUAGUGACUAAAAUGGCUUACCUUUAUUCAAAAUAAAUCCCGCCGAGUGAAAAUGAUGGGACAAAUUUUUAUUGUUGUUAUAACAAU
RNA transcript from Juglans microcarpa x Juglans regia, 2503 nucleotides. It is a transcript of the gene named myosin-binding protein 7-like, with no coding region annotated. The record is from RefSeq and is a predicted model, not a curated record. The transcript has 5 exons. Lineage: Eukaryota; Viridiplantae; Streptophyta; Magnoliopsida; Fagales; Juglandaceae.